RNAcentral lists this ribosomal RNA (336 nucleotides) under uncultured bacterium. Its description in RNAcentral is "partial 16S ribosomal RNA". It matches the Rfam family "Bacterial small subunit ribosomal RNA", at positions 338 to 691 of the family's 1533-position model. The record is from RNAcentral.
CCUACGGGAGGCAGCAGGAGGGAAUAUUGCACAAUGGGGGAAACCCUGAAGCAGCAACGCAGCGUGGAGGAUGAAGGUUUUCGGAUGGUAAAAUCCGUGUGGUAGAGAAGAGAAUGACGGUAACUAACGAAUAAGCACCGGAUAACGCCGGGCCAGGAGCCGCGGUAAUACGGAGGGGGCCAGCGUUCCUCGGAAUAACUGGGCGUAAAGAGAGCGUAGGGGGGAUAGCAAGUCAGAUGGGAAAUCCUAGGGCUUAACCAUAGAACUGCAUUUGAAACUGUUAUUCUAGAGUAUGGGAGAGGUAGGUUGUAUUCUUGGUGUAGUGGUCCAUUCCGU